Molecule: transfer RNA, 87 nt
Filed under: Hyphomonas sp.
Lineage: Bacteria; Pseudomonadati; Pseudomonadota; Alphaproteobacteria; Hyphomonadales; Hyphomonadaceae
Description: tRNA-Gly
Rfam family: tRNA
About the family: Transfer RNA (tRNA) molecules are approximately 80 nucleotides in length.
Source: RNAcentral
GCCCCGGUGGUGGAAAUGGCAGACACAAUGGACUUCCAAACCAUGGCUUUCACGGGCGUGCGGGUUCAAGUCCCGCCCGGGGCACCA